Molecule: ribosomal RNA, 466 nt
Filed under: uncultured bacterium
Lineage: Bacteria
Description: partial 16S ribosomal RNA
Rfam family: Bacterial small subunit ribosomal RNA
Source: RNAcentral
GAUGAACGCUGGCGGCGUGCUUAACACAUGCAAGUCGAACGGAAAGGCCCAAGCUUGCUUGGGUACUCGAGUGGCGAACGGGUGAGUAACACGUGGGUGAUCUGCCCUGCACUUCGGGAUAAGCCUGGGAAACUGGGUCUAAUACCGGAUAGGACCACAUUUUGGAUGGUGUGGUGGAAAGUUUUUCGGUGUGGGAUGAGCUCGCGGCCUAUCAGCUUGUUGGUGGGGUAAUGGCCUACCAAGGCGUCGACGGGUAGCCGGCCUGAGAGGGUGUACGGCCACAAUGGGACUGAGAGACGGCCCAGACCCCUACGGGAGGGAGCAGGGGGGAAUAUUGCACAAUGGGCGCAAGCCUGAUGCAGCGACGCCGGGUGGGGGAUGACGGCCUUCGGGUUGUAAACGCCUUUCGCUAGGGACGAAGCGUUAUGUGACGGUACCUGGAGAAGAAGCACCGGCUAACUACGUG